This 495-nucleotide ribosomal RNA is filed under the name uncultured bacterium. Its description in RNAcentral is "partial 16S ribosomal RNA". It matches the Rfam family "Bacterial small subunit ribosomal RNA", at positions 28 to 507 of the family's 1533-position model. The record is from RNAcentral.
GACGAACGCUGGCGGCGUGCCUAAUACAUGCAAGUAGAACGCUGAAGGAGGAGCUUGCUUCUCUGGAUGAGUUGCGAACGGGUGAGUAUCGCGUAGGUAACCUGCCUGGUAGCGGGGGAUAACUAUUGGAAACGAUAGCUAAUACCGCAUAAGAGUAGAUGUUGCAUGACAUUUGCUUAAAAGGUGCAAUUGCAUCACUACCAGAUGGACCUGCGUUGUAUUAGCUAGUUGGUGAGGUAACGGCUCACCAAGGCAACGAUACAUAGCCGACCUGAGAGGGUGAUCGGCCACACUGGGACUGAGACACGGCCCAGACUCCUACGGGAGGCAGCAGUAGGGAAUCUUCGGCAAUGGACGGAAGUCUGACCGAGAAACGCCGCGCGAGGGAAGAAGGGUGUCGGAUCGGAAAGCUCGGUUGUAAGAGAAGAACGAGUGUGAGAGUGGAAAGUUCACACUGUGACGGUAUCUUACCAGAAAGGGACGGCUAACUACGUG